UGAAACUCUCUCUUUUUCUCUACAUCACCAAAUAUUUUCUCUUAAGUGUUAGAAAGAACAAAGAGAGAUUUAAGAUAUAUUGAGUGAGAUUUUGAUCAAAGUUCCAAGACAGAAAGUGUAGAUCACAACUUGGUGAAGCUUUUGGUAUGAGCAAAGUGGGUUAAGAGGAUUAGCCGGAUUGGGGACUUUUUCGAGAGAGACGGAUUUGCUCGCAUAGCGUAAGUUGAUUGUGUUGGAAGCUUGCUGAGAGACGACGAAACCACGAACGAAGCACGUAGUUGAAGUGGAACCACCAGAUCUCUUCUCUCCAUUUCCGUUAUUUGUACCUUCUUCUUCUUCGAUCUCAUCUCUCCUCAAGCUAGGGGAGAAGCUUAUGGUUCUAUUUUCUUCAUCAAUAGUCAAUUAAUCAAUUCAUUUACACUAGAUCAUCCAACAAUGAGG
Long non-coding RNA from Trifolium pratense (red clover), 441 nucleotides. RefSeq lists it as uncharacterized. NCBI's taxonomy places the organism in Eukaryota, Viridiplantae, Streptophyta, Magnoliopsida, Fabales, Fabaceae. The record is from RefSeq and is a predicted model, not a curated record. The transcript is spliced from 4 exons.